Molecule: long non-coding RNA, 288 nt
Filed under: Mus spicilegus (steppe mouse)
Lineage: Eukaryota; Metazoa; Chordata; Mammalia; Rodentia; Muridae
Description: lncRNA (ENSMSIG00000020346.1)
Source: RNAcentral
CUCUUCCGCUCCAGUGUGCUAAAUUCUGUCUUCGAGGCUUGCAGCUCGAAAUCCUGGUUGCUCCUAUGUGGAUUCUAAGUAAUAGGAGAGCUAGCUAAUAUCCAUGGUCCUGGAAGAAUUUCUUCAAUUAUGGAGUUGUUGAGCCUCUGUUAAGGACCGAUGAGACUCACAGGCCCUGCCUAGCCCAAUAAACGGAGAGAGUAAUUUCCACCUCGGAAAACAUUUGAGUACAAACAUCCUUGUAAGAAUCCCCAUAGGAAACGCCAUGCCUCUGCUCAGAUUAAAAAG